This 776-nucleotide ribosomal RNA is filed under the name uncultured Neocallimastigales. RNAcentral's name for it is "partial large subunit ribosomal RNA". It matches the Rfam family "Eukaryotic large subunit ribosomal RNA", at positions 19 to 637 of the family's 3401-position model. Lineage: Eukaryota; Fungi; Neocallimastigomycota; Neocallimastigomycetes; Neocallimastigales. The record is from RNAcentral.
CGAGCACGCGCGUGUGGCAUAUCAAUAAGCGGAGGAAAAGAAACUAACAAGGAUUCCCUUAGUAACGGCGAGUGAAGCGGGAAGAGCUCAAAUUUGAAAUCUUCAAGGUUCUACCUUGACGAAUUAGUAGUUUAUAGAAGUGUUUUCUGUUAGUAGGAGUGGCAAAAGUUCUUUGGAAUAGGACAUCAUAGAGGGUGAGAAUCCCGUAUUUGGUCAUUCUUUCUAGCUUUGUGAUACACUUUCAACGAGUCGGAUUGUUUGGGAAUGCAGUCCAAAAUGGGUGGUAAAUUUCAUCUAAAGCUAAAUAUUGGCGAGAGACCGAUAGCGAACAAGUACCGUGAGGGAAAGAUGAAAAGAACUUUGAAAAGAGAGUUAAACAGUACGUGAAAUUGUCAAAAGGGAAGCGUUUGACACCAGUGUUGUUUUUCCGAAAAUCAAUUACGAAUGUUUUGUUUUUGAGGAGUUAUGACUUCAUCGGCUUGCUCCUUUCUUUAUGAAACUUUCUUAAUGCACUUUUCGGUUAACAAGUCAACAUCAAUUUCUUUUGUUGUAAAAGAGUCAUUGGAAGGUGGCUUUCUUUUCGGAGAAAGUGUUUAUAGCCUUUGGCUUCUGCAAUCGGAGAGAUUGAGGUCUGCAGCGUAGAUCCUUCGGGGUUAGAUGCAUUUGUGCUAAGUUAUAGCCUUUCAUAGACAACUUGUUGACUAUGAUCAGUCAUGUAGCUUACUCGCUUAUGCUAUUUUACCUACGCUUAGGAUGUUGAGCGCAUGUCUCUCUCU